UUUAAGAAUAGCUCGAAGUCGAACCAGAGCUCAUUUGCUCGGAAUCCAUGGCGACGGCGAGGGUGCUGGUAUCCGUCGAAAUUGGAAACAUGUACUGAAAUGGCUUCGGCGGCGGCACUAUCUCAACGCUUCCUUCCAACAUCUUCACUACCGCACUCAUUGGAGGCCGAUCCUCCGGCGAAUCCUGCACGCACCAAAGAGCCACCACACAAAUUCUCUCGAUCACCAUUUUCCUCUCUCCAUUCUCUUCAACAUCACAGUCGCUGCUCAUAUUCACUAAUUCGCCCUUCUCAAACCGCUCCCAUACCUGAAUCGGAAACCAAUCG
Molecule: unclassified non-coding RNA, 326 nt
Filed under: Hevea brasiliensis (rubber tree)
Lineage: Eukaryota; Viridiplantae; Streptophyta; Magnoliopsida; Malpighiales; Euphorbiaceae
Source: RNAcentral